GAAAUGCGAUAAGUAAUGUGAAUUGCAGAAUUCAGUGAAUCAUCGAAUCUUUGAACGCACCUUGCGCUCCUUGGUAUUCCGAGGAGCAUGCCUGUUUGAGUGUCAUGAAAUCUUCAACCUAUAAACCUUUGCGGGUUUGUAGGCUUGGACUUGGAGGCUUGUCGGCCUAACGGUCGGCUCCUCUUAAAUGCAUUAGCUUGAUUCCUUGCGGAUCGGCUCUCGGUGUGAUAAUUGUCUACGCCGCGACCGUGAAGCGUUUGGCGAGCUUCUAAUCGUCUCUUAUGAGACAACACAUUGACCUCUGACCUCAAAUCAGGUAGGACUACCCGCUGAACUUAA
Molecule: unclassified non-coding RNA, 339 nt
Filed under: uncultured Agaricomycetes
Lineage: Eukaryota; Fungi; Basidiomycota; Agaricomycetes
Description: sequence contains ITS1
Rfam family: 5.8S ribosomal RNA (bases 1-105)
Source: RNAcentral